RNAcentral lists this transfer RNA (76 nucleotides) under Deltaproteobacteria bacterium. RNAcentral's name for it is "tRNA-Thr". It matches the Rfam family "tRNA". Rfam says of the family: Transfer RNA (tRNA) molecules are approximately 80 nucleotides in length. Their secondary structure includes four short double-helical elements and three loops (D, anti-codon, and T loops). The record is from RNAcentral. Lineage: Bacteria; Pseudomonadati; Myxococcota; Myxococcia.
GCCACCCUAGCUCAGUUGGUAGAGCAGCUGAUUCGUAAUCAGCAGGUCGGCGGUUCGAGUCCGCCGGGUGGCUCCA